RNAcentral lists this unclassified non-coding RNA (899 nucleotides) under Hevea brasiliensis (rubber tree). Lineage: Eukaryota; Viridiplantae; Streptophyta; Magnoliopsida; Malpighiales; Euphorbiaceae. The record is from RNAcentral.
AAAUGUAUUGACAAAAGUUUCCCUGCCAAAAAAAUUUGUAUAAAGGUAGUUACCAACCUAAGACAUCAAAUUGGCCAUUAUCAUAUGUUGUUGGACAAGAUCAACAAAUUGAUUCAUUAGCUUGAUUCUCAAUAAGCUAAUAAUUUCCCUAAUAUACAGUGAACCAGAGAUAUGAAUCAUUUCGUGGUUCGAUCACAUGGAAAUAAAUUCUCCUACAAACUAUAUCUCAAUAAAGUUGAAAGCAAAGAAAAAAGUUCCGUAAGUUCCAGCAUACUAUUAUUUAAGUUGCCCAUUUCAAGUGUCAUGUUUUGCUAACUUUUCUUUUUUUACCACACUUUAUAUUAUUAUAGCAGAAAGCAAUAUCCAAUGAUCAGUAACAAGUUUCCUACAUCAAAUGGAAUUUUGAACCUUGCUGCUGUUUAUCUAUUUGUUCAGACUCAAAGCAAGCCAAGGUUCAUAAACAGGGCUGGCAACGGAUGCCAUGUUGAGAGAGAAAUGAAAAGAAACUUUCAGCCUUUUAAGGAUAAGGACUACUACUGUAUCUAAAAUAAACAUUAUGUUAAAGAUUGUAGCCCAGGUCCUUUCAAAGUAAGAAUAGGAGAGCAAUUAAAAUCUUAAUAGGAAGUUGAUGAGACAAAACUGGACUAGAAACUUACAUCCAUAAAUUACUGUUCAAAUAUCAGAUCUAGUAAGUAGUAACCAUAUAAGCCUCUCUUGACAACUGACUAGUAUAAGAUUUGAGUAUAUAGGAAACAAGUGGAACAUAUUACCCACCUUCAAGUUAAAUUUUAAACAAAAGAUGAAGCAUAAGAAGAAAAUUUUAGCAAAGUAGGUAAGAGAAAGGGAGAAUCAGCACAUGGACAUGGUGGUUGUUACCUAGGAUCAUUUCCAGAUAAGGA